Molecule: ribosomal RNA, 776 nt
Filed under: uncultured Neocallimastigales
Lineage: Eukaryota; Fungi; Neocallimastigomycota; Neocallimastigomycetes; Neocallimastigales
Description: partial large subunit ribosomal RNA
Rfam family: Eukaryotic large subunit ribosomal RNA
Source: RNAcentral
UAUCUCUGUAGAGUCUGCAUAUCAAUAAGCGGAGGAAAAGAAACUAACAAGGAUUCCCCUAGUAACGGCGAGUGAAGCGGGAAGAGCUCAAAUUUGAAAUCUUCAAGGUUUGACCUUGACGAAUUGUAGUUUAAAGAAGUGUUUUCGGUUAGAGGAGUAGUAAAAGUUCUUUGGAAUAGGACAUCAUAGAGGGUGAGAAUCCCGUAUUUGACUAUUCUUUCUAGCUUUGUGAUACACUUUCAAAGAGUCGGAUUGUUUGGGAAUGCAGUCCAAGAUGGGUGGUAAAUUUCAUCUAAAGCUAAAUAUUGGCGAGAGACCGAUAGCGAACAAGUACCGUGAGGGAAAGAUGAAAAGAACUUUGAAAAGAGAGUUAAACAGUACGUGAAAUUGUCAAAAGGGAAGCGUUUGACACCAGUGUUGUUUUUUCCGAAAAUCAAUUAAAAAUUGAUUCAUGCCAGGUUGUAUUGACCUUAUCAGCUUGCAAUUUGGUUUUGGGUCUCUUUUUGAUGCACUUUUCGGUUAACAAGUCAACAUCAAUUUCCUUUGCUGUAAAAAGGUAAGAGGAAGGUGGCUUCAAUUUCGGUUGAAGUGUUUAUAGCCUUUUAUCUCUGCAGUCGGGGAGAUUGAGGUCUGCAGCGUAGAUCCUUCGGGGCUAGAUACAUUUAUGCUAAGUUAUAGCUUUUCAUAGACAACUUGUUGACUAUGUUUAGUCAUGUAGCUUACUCGUAAGUGCUAUUUUACCUACGCUUAGGAUGUUGAAGACUCUACAGAGAUAG